RNAcentral lists this ribosomal RNA (434 nucleotides) under uncultured Lachnospiraceae bacterium. RNAcentral's name for it is "partial 16S ribosomal RNA". It matches the Rfam family "Bacterial small subunit ribosomal RNA", at positions 341 to 792 of the family's 1533-position model. The record is from RNAcentral. Lineage: Bacteria; Bacillati; Bacillota; Clostridia; Lachnospirales; Lachnospiraceae.
ACGGAAGGCAGCAGUGGGGAAUAUUGCACAAUGGGGGAAACCCUGAUGCAGCGACGCCGCGUGAGUGAAGAAGUAUUUCGGUAUGUAAAGCUCUAUCAGCAGGGAAGAAAAUGACGGUACCUGACUACGAAGCCCCGGCUAACUACGUGCCAGCAGCCGCGGUAAUACGUAGGGGGCAAGCGUUAUCCGGAUUUACUGGGUGUAAAGGGAGCGUAGACGGUUCUGCAAGUCUGAUGUGAAAGGCAGGGGCUCAACUCCUGGACUGCAUUGGAAACUGUAGAACUAGAGUGCCGGAGAGGUAAGCGGAAUUCCUAGUGUAGCGGUGAAAUGCGUAGAUAUUAGGAGGAACACCAGUGGCGAAGGCGGCUUACUGGACGGUAACUGACGUUGAGGCUCGAAAGCGUGGGGAGCAAACAGGAUUAGAUACCCUGGUA